GGGUGCAAUCAUGCUAGUACUAAUGCACCAGAUCCCAUCAGAACUCCGAAGUUAAGCGUGCUUUGGUAAGAGUAGUACUAGGAUGGGUGACCCCCUUGGAAGUCUUCGUGUUGCAUCCC
Ribosomal RNA from Elaeis guineensis (African oil palm), 119 nucleotides. Lineage: Eukaryota; Viridiplantae; Streptophyta; Magnoliopsida; Arecales; Arecaceae. The record is from RefSeq and is a predicted model, not a curated record.